Molecule: long non-coding RNA, 177 nt
Organism: Daphnia carinata
Lineage: Eukaryota; Metazoa; Arthropoda; Branchiopoda; Diplostraca; Daphniidae
Exons: 3
Source: RefSeq, a predicted model, not a curated record
CCGAAACUCAUGUUAAUCUCAUUCAAGCCAUGCAAGACGCCGAGGCACGCCACUCACUGGUGCUUCGUGAAUUAGGCGACGAGAGAAGGAAGCAUGAGCAUGACACUGCCCAAGGUGACGACAUCAUUUAAGGACUGGAAAAAGAACGGACGAGACUUCGAGAGGAAUUGGAAGUGG